GAUGAAGAACGAAGCGAAAUGCGAUAAGUAAUGCGAAUUGCAGAAUCCGUGAGUCAUCGAAUCUUUGAACGCACAUUGCGCCCCUUGGUUAUUCCGAAGGGCAUGCCUGUUCGAGCGUCAUUAUCACCCCUCAAGCCCUGGCUUGGUGUUGGACUUUAGUUAUAGCUUUGCCUAUCAACUGGUCUCAAAGAUAGUGACGGCGCCCCAGAGGGAACCGGGUACGAGGAGCUUUUUACUAAGCAUGUAUCUGGGACGACUCUGGGCGACGGUCUUGUUAUACUUUUUACCUAAGUGUUGACCUCGGAUCAGGAAGGAAUACCCGCUGAACUUAAGCAUAUCAAUAAGCGGAGGA
This 352-nucleotide unclassified non-coding RNA is filed under the name soil metagenome. RNAcentral's name for it is "partial contains 5.8S ribosomal RNA, internal transcribed spacer 2, and large subunit ribosomal RNA". The stretch from base 1 to 120 matches the Rfam family "5.8S ribosomal RNA", at positions 35 to 154 of the family's 154-position model. The record is from RNAcentral.